AACGGGGAAUUAGGGUUCGAUUCCGGAGAGGGAGCCUGAGAAAUGGCUACCACAUCUAAGGAAGGCAGCAGGCGCGUAAAUUACCCAAUCCUAAUUCAGGGAGGUAGUGACAAGAAAUAACAACUCGGACCUCACACGAGGUUACGAGAUUGCAAUGAGAACAAUUUAAACCUCUUAUCGAGUAACAAUUGGAGGGCGAGUCUGGUGCCAGCAGCCGCGGUAAUUCCAGCUCCAAUAGCGUAUAUUAAAGUUGUUGCAGUUAAAAAGCUCGUAGUUGAAUAUCUGGCCGGUGCUGUUCUCGGCUCCCUGAGUCGGCUCAGCGCCUGGUCAUCCGUAUGGGAAACUAGCUCGACCUUCACUGGUCGGCUAGUGGAUCAUACACUUUACUUUGAAAAAAUUAGAGUGUUUCAGGCAGGCAAUUGCUUGGAUACUGUAGCAUGGAAUAAUGGAAUAGGACUUUGACCUAUUUGUUGGUUUCUCGAGGUCAAAGUAAUGAUUAAUAGGGACAGUUGGGGGCAUUCGUAUUUAAUUGUCAGAGGUGAAAUUCUUGGAUUUUUUAAAGACGAACUUAUGCGAAAGCAUUUGCCAAGGAUGUUUU
Molecule: ribosomal RNA, 598 nt
Filed under: uncultured ciliate
Lineage: Eukaryota; Ciliophora
Description: SSU rRNA
Rfam family: Eukaryotic small subunit ribosomal RNA
Source: RNAcentral